GCCUCCGUAGUUCAAUGGAUAAAACGACUCCCUUCUAAGGAGUAGCUCUAGGUUCGAUUCCUGGCGGGGGCA
Molecule: transfer RNA, 72 nt
Filed under: Minisyncoccota bacterium
Lineage: Bacteria; Bacillati; Minisyncoccota
Description: tRNA-Arg
Rfam family: tRNA
About the family: Transfer RNA (tRNA) molecules are approximately 80 nucleotides in length. Their secondary structure includes four short double-helical elements and three loops (D, anti-codon, and T loops). Further hydrogen bonds mediate the characteristic L-shaped molecular structure. tRNAs have two regions of fundamental functional importance: the anti-codon, which is responsible for specific mRNA codon recognition, and the 3' end, to which the tRNAs corresponding amino acid is attached (by aminoacyl-tRNA synthetases). tRNAs cope with the degeneracy of the genetic code in two manners: having more than one tRNA (with a specific anti-codon) for a particular amino acid; and 'wobble' base-pairing, i.e. permitting non-standard base-pairing at the 3rd anti-codon position.
Source: RNAcentral